GACAGGCCACAUUUCAGCAUGCA
Molecule: unclassified non-coding RNA, 23 nt
Filed under: Mus musculus (house mouse)
Lineage: Eukaryota; Metazoa; Chordata; Mammalia; Rodentia; Muridae
Description: oocyte_clustered_small_RNA6357
Source: RNAcentral